Molecule: ribosomal RNA, 585 nt
Filed under: uncultured Alphaproteobacteria bacterium
Lineage: Bacteria; Pseudomonadati; Pseudomonadota; Alphaproteobacteria
Description: bacterial SSU rRNA
Rfam family: Bacterial small subunit ribosomal RNA
Source: RNAcentral
GAGUUUGAUUCUGGCUCAGAACGAACGCUGGCGGCAGGCCUAACACAUGCAAGUCGAGCGAACCGCAAGGUUAGCGGCGGACGGGUGAGUAACGCGUGGGAACGUGCCCCUUGGUACGGAAUAGCCCUGGGAAACUGGGAGUAACACCGUAUGUGGUCGAGAGACGAAAGAUUUAUCGCCAAGGGAUCGGCCCGCGUUGGAUUAGGUAGUUGGUGGGGUAAUGGCCUACCAAGCCGACGAUCCAUAGCUGGUUUGAGAGGAUGAUCAGCCACACUGGGACUGAGACACGGCCCAGACUCCUACGGGAGGCAGCAGUGGGGAAUCUUAGACAAUGGGGGAAACCCUGAUCUAGCCAUGCCGCGUGAGCGAUGAAGGCCUUAGGGUUGUAAAGCUCUUUCAGUGGGGAAGAUAAUGACGGUACCCACAGAAGAAGCCCCGGCUAACUCCGUGCCAGCAGCCGCGGUAAUACGGAGGGGGCUAGCGUUGUUCGGAAUUACUGGGCGUAAAGCGCACGUAGGCGGACGAGAAAGUCAGAGGUGAAAUCCCAGGGCUCAACCCUGGAACUGCCUUUGAAACUCCUUGUCU